Molecule: ribosomal RNA, 440 nt
Filed under: uncultured bacterium
Lineage: Bacteria
Description: partial 16S ribosomal RNA
Rfam family: Bacterial small subunit ribosomal RNA
Source: RNAcentral
CCUACGGGUGGCAGCAGUGGGGAAUAUUGCACAAUGGGGGAAACCCUGAUGCAGCGACGCCGCGUGAGUGAAGAAGUAAUUCGUUAUGUAAAGCUCUAUCAGCAGGGAAGAAAAUGACGGUACCUGAGUAAGAAGCCCCGGCUAACUACGUGCCAGCAGCCGCGGUAAGACGUCGGGGGCAAGCGUUAUCCGGAUUUACUGGGUGUAAAGGGAGCGUAGACGGCAGUGCAAGUCUGGAGUGAAAGGCGGGGGGUCAACCCGCGGACUGCUGGGGAAACGGUACGGCUGGAGUGCAGGAGAGGUAAGUGGAAUUCCUGGUGUAGCGGUGAAAUGCGUAGAUAUUAGGAGGAACACCAGUGGCGAAGGCGGCUGACUGGACUGUAACUGACGUUGAGGCUCGAAAGCGUGGGGAGCAAACAGGAUUAGAUACCCUAGUAGUC